GUCCCCAUCGUCUAGUGGCCUAGGACAUGACCCUCUCACGGUUAGAACCGGGGUUCGAGUCCCCGUGGGGACGCCA
Molecule: transfer RNA, 76 nt
Filed under: Duodenibacillus sp.
Lineage: Bacteria; Pseudomonadati; Pseudomonadota; Betaproteobacteria; Burkholderiales; Sutterellaceae
Also listed under: 2 other names
Description: tRNA-Glu
Rfam family: tRNA
About the family: Transfer RNA (tRNA) molecules are approximately 80 nucleotides in length. Their secondary structure includes four short double-helical elements and three loops (D, anti-codon, and T loops).
Source: RNAcentral